RNAcentral lists this ribosomal RNA (751 nucleotides) under uncultured Streptococcus sp. RNAcentral's name for it is "bacterial SSU rRNA". It matches the Rfam family "Bacterial small subunit ribosomal RNA", at positions 8 to 734 of the family's 1533-position model. Lineage: Bacteria; Bacillati; Bacillota; Bacilli; Lactobacillales; Streptococcaceae. The record is from RNAcentral.
AGAGUUUGAUCAUGGCUCAGGACGAACGCUGGCGGCGUGCCUAAUACAUGCAAGUGGAACGCAUGAUUGAUACCGGAGCUUGCUCCACCAUUAAUCNUGAGUCGCGAACGGGUGAGUAACGCGUAGGUAACCUACCUCAUAGCGGGGGAUAACUAUUGGAAACGAUAGCUAAUACCGCAUAACAGUAUUUAUCGCAUGGUAAAUGCUUGAAAGGAGCAACUGCUUCACUAUGAGAUGGACCUGCGUUGUAUUAGCUAGUUGGUGGGGUAACGGCUCACCAAGGCAUCGAUACAUAGCCGACCUGAGAGGGUGAUCGGCCACACUGGGACUGAGACACGGCCCAGACUCCUACGGGAGGCAGCAGUAGGGAAUCUUCGGCAAUGGGGGGAACCCUGACCGAGCAACGCCGCGUGAGUGAAGAAGGUUUUCGGAUCGUAAAGCUCUGUUGUAAGAGAAGAACGUGUGUGAGAGUGGAAAGUUCACACAGUGACGGUAACUUACCAGAAAGGGACGGCUAACUACGUGCCAGCAGCCGCGGUAAUACGUAGGUCCCGAGCGUUGUCCGGAUUUAUUGGGCGUAAAGCGAGCGCAGGCGGUUUGAUAAGUCUGAAGUAAAAGGCUGUGGCUUAACCAUAGUAUGCUUUGGAAACUGUCAAACUUGAGUGCAGAAGGGGAGAGUGGAAUUCCAUGUGUAGCGGUGAAAUGCGUAGAUAUAUGGAGGAACACCGGUGGCGAAAGCGGCUCUCUGGUC